UGUGUUGCGAUUUCUGGAUUGGAUUACUGCGUGGUGGCGGCCGAUACGAGGUUGUCGGUUGGAUACAACAUUUACACCCGUGAUUACUCGAAGAUCUGCCAACUGUACGAGGCAGAGAAGCUAAACAUAUUCUAGAAAGAACAAAAGUAGGUUUAUUUUACAAAGAACAGAACCUGCUUCUUUACAACACAGUUGACCUUUUUUCACCAUGAAGUUGUUGGAAGACACUCAUUUAGACAGCAUAAAUAUCUUCCUUAGCUGUUUAAAUCUUGGGGAAAGUACUAUCAAAGGGAGUCUUAAUCCCAGGUGGCGCAAGUAUGGACAGAAAUUUGUCAAAGGAAAUCCUAAUCCCAGGUAUGUUUUGUUCCUAUUAAGCUUGUGGAAGGCCAUAACAGUCAUGCUUCGAGAUUGGAGCCAACUGCUGCCCCUUCAUCAUCAGCUUCUUCUGUUUCUGCUUCUGACACUAUCACAUAAUUGAUCUACUGCAACGGUUAAGACGCAACAGUUUUAACUGUUGCGUUAGAUAUCUAUCGUAACGUUUUUUAGGGUGUAAUACAACAUUUAAUAUAAAAUGUUGCCAUAGGUCUAAUAAUUGUUUCUGGGCUUAAUAAUUGUUAGUGGCCUUUGAGCUUGAGUAAAGCCCACUGUUUGACCGCACCGCUUAAACCGCACCAGUUAAAGGAAAUCUCUCUCUCUCUCUCAAAUCCCUAAAAUCGCCGCCGCCAUGGCCAACCAAAACUCCCUAAAAUCGCCGUGGCCAAGAUCUCCCUAAAAUCGCCGUUUUCAGUCAGCGCCAGAGUCCAUUAACUUUCGUCGCCGUUUUCAUCUCGUUGGUUUCAUCGUCGAGCUACUCUCAUUGCUCCAGAAAUAGAGCCCAGUCCUCGCCGGAGCUUUCUAGGGUUUCAGCUGGUACUCGAGCGAUCAUUAUAAGCUGCUUCCUGUUGAUUUACGUGAUGUUGAGCAGUUAGAUAUUAUCUUGAGGCUUGCAAAGUUGGAUCCCAGGUUUGUGAUGAAAUAUUUCUUCACUAUCACUGCAGAAUAUCCAUUUGCAUUAUUACAAGUGUUGCAUGAUAUAGUAAGUUCAGUUCUAAAAUUUCAAAUUUUCAUCUUGUUUGCCGGUGUUUAUUUGGGUUUUCAGUUUUUUCCACAUGUACAGUAAAAAGUACUUAUUAACUGUAGCUGCAUUUAUUAGUUUUGUUAAAACAAAUGUUUGCAACUGAUAGAAACACUACAAUUGUAUGAAAUGCUCAUAUUUGAUUAAAAUGCUAAAGUUACAUGAAGCCUUGGGAUUUUGGUGAAAAUGGAUUUAAGAAAGACUAGCUGACCAAUUAUUAGCUGUCCUUAUCUUGAUUUUGAUCAGAGCAAGGGUGUCUUAUUAAACUUUCUUCUAGCUUGGUAUCAUAUAAGCUCAAUCCUGAACACCUGACACUUCAGUUUUUAUUAUCUAUUUUUCGUGUAUCUAGUACUUAUGUGAUUCUUUUCAUUUAUUACUAGUUAAUCACUUCUCUUUGAGCGAUGGAAACAGUGGGUGAUUCUAGAUCAAGUUCAAAAGAGAAGAGAUCAUUUGAGGUCAUGAGCAAACCUCUUGCAAAGAAGCGUAAAAAGAUCUUUUAUCCUCCUCUACAUGUGACAAAUCUUGCAAGGAUGAAUCAAUCCAAAGCCUGCAGCCAACAGCUUGAUGGAAGCAAUGUACCAAGGAUGAAAAUAAAGCAAAAAUCGCAGUCUCAUAGCCAACAGCACGUUACAAGCAAGUUGACAAAUAGGAUAACGACUUCUUGAUGUCUGAGUUUAAUCAGAUGAGCAAGUCUGAUCCUUCUGUUUUAUUCACUUAAAUUAUUAUAUCUAUAUGCCAUGGUCCUCUUUAAGAUGAUAACUAAUCUUUGCACGAUACUUCUUGGAAACUCUGAUCAAAUUCAGUUCCCUCACUGACUGUCAGAUCAUAAGGUACAUCAUGGAUCAGACUUAAAUUAUCAUAGUUUUUAUAAGUAGGACUCAAGCAGAUUCCCAGCAGUUGAAUAGAACUAAUGGUACAUCAUGGUGAUGGUGAUUUUUGAAUGAAGCUUUGAUGGUGAGCACGGUGAUUCUUGGAAACUAAUAGUUUUAAUAGCUUGCUUUUGAAUGAAGCUUUGAUGGUGAGCACGGUGAUGGUGAUUUUUUGAUGGGAAUGGGUAAGCGAAACAGGACACAUUUUGUUAAUAAUUUGCUUAUGUUCGAAGGUCUACCAUAAAGCUAAGUUUCCAUGAUUGUUAGUUUGGUUUUAAAAGGUGUAAACAAAAAUGAUAGGUUGUUAACUAAGAGAGUAAUGUUCUAAUAAUAGGUGUGGCUUGCUAAUACAAUAAUAUUAUUACCAACCAAAGGCUUGCGUAUACUAUUCACCACGCAUAUAAACACGUCAAAUUUCGUAUUAUUCUACCGGCAUGAAGUAGUAGUUUUCAUCAUGUAUAGGAACAAAUUAAGAGGUUGCAGGCCUUUAUUUAUUUUGAGAGAAACAAUAAUAGUCACCUUGGGCUGUUGUUUCAGAUUGUUUGCUGAAGAAUUUUCAGUCUUUAUUUCUUAUAUAUCCUGUUUUUCAUUACAUCAUUAGCACUACGAGGUUGGCUUUAGCUUAUUUUGAUUAAAGAAUACUUAUUAGAAGUUCUUUGAUUAUGUAGAAAGCAAGUGAAAAGAAUAAGGAAAGUCGAAACAGUCAAACGCUCUUGCACACAGCGGGUUCAAAAAGUUUCGCAAGAAUUCACAGAGAUAUGGAAAAGGAAUUGAACCGGCCUCCAACAGAUGCAGAAGUGUUUAUAGAGACUCGUAAAAAGAAGAAAAAAGCGCAACCAGAAAAAACACUUGACAUGAUUGGUACAUUGGAACAACUAACUCAAGAGCUAACUCAGGAACAAACUGAAGAAGAAAAUGUAGAUGCAUGACAUCUUGUUAAUAAAAAAGAACAUCCUGGACGUGUGCGUCUCCGGGGACGGGCAAUCACUCAAAGCAUGCUACAAAGCAAUAAGGAGAAAGCCAUUGAUCCAUGUGAUCAUGUUUAGUCCGGCUCUAAUAUUCCUUUGAGGUUCGAAAAUUGGGGUCGUGACAGAAUGGUAUUAGGGAUUAGGCUGUAGGUCCUAGUUGAUGUUUUAGAUGGUCAAGUGAUGAAAGAAAAAUAUAUUGGAUUUUGAUGCAUAGAAAUGAAAGUUGAUGUUUUAUUUUGAAGUCUGAUCGAGGAUAAUAUGAAUAUUAUUUGAUCAAAUUUAGUUAAAGAGGUAUAUGAUUUUAGAUUCAUGGAUUACAUAAUUUCUUUUUGUUUAGUUUUUCUAGAGAUAAAGGAAUUAGUUCAGCUUAGUUUUAGGCAUGUUUGACAUAUGUGACUCAUGAAAAUAUCAUCUAAUAAUAUAUGAUAUUAUGAUAAGGAAUAUGCUAAGGAUUAGUUAUUGAUGAUUAUUAUGAUUAAACUUUCAUGCUAAAUGUAUUUAUUUUUGGUGAUGUUAGGUUAUGAUUGCACUUGAUGUGAAAGGUUAUCAAUUUGAGUUUUAUGAGGGAAAAAAAACAAAAUUAAUGGUUUAUUCUGAGAUAUGAUUAUUGUUCGCGGGGAAAAUCGUUGCUUUCUUCAUU
Long non-coding RNA from Asparagus officinalis (garden asparagus), 3591 nucleotides. RefSeq lists it as uncharacterized. The transcript has 8 exons. Lineage: Eukaryota; Viridiplantae; Streptophyta; Magnoliopsida; Asparagales; Asparagaceae. The record is from RefSeq and is a predicted model, not a curated record.